Molecule: ribosomal RNA, 492 nt
Filed under: uncultured bacterium
Lineage: Bacteria
Description: partial 16S ribosomal RNA
Rfam family: Bacterial small subunit ribosomal RNA
Source: RNAcentral
AGUGAACGCUGGCGGUAGGCCUAACACAUGCAAGUCGAACGGCAGCACAGUAAGAGCUUGCUCUUACGGGUGGCGAGUGGCGGACGGGUGAGGAAUACAUCGGACUCUACUUUUUCGUGGGGGAUAACGUAGGGAAACUUACGCUAAUACCGCAUACGACCUACGGGUGAAAGCAGGGGAUCUUCGGACCUUGCGCGAUUGAAUGAGCCGAUGUCGGAUUUGCUAGUUGGCGGGGUAAAGGCCCACCAAGGCGACGAUCCGUAGCUGGUCUGAGAGGAUGAUCGGCCACACGGGAACGUGAACACGGUCCAGACUCCUACGGGAGGCAGCAGUGGGGAAUAGUAGACAAUGGGCGCAAGCCUUAUCCAGCCAUACCGCGUGUGUGAAGGAGGCCUUCGGGGUGUAAAGCCCGUUUGUUGGGAAAGAAAAGCAGCAGGUUAAGACCCCGCUGUUCUGACGGUACCCAAAGAAUAAGCACCGGCCAACUUCGUG